RNAcentral lists this long non-coding RNA (1952 nucleotides) under Olea europaea subsp. europaea. Lineage: Eukaryota; Viridiplantae; Streptophyta; Magnoliopsida; Lamiales; Oleaceae. The record is from RNAcentral.
UCAUUUCACAUUAAUUGUUAAAUUUAUUUAUGCAAUAAAAAUGAGUAAUAAAUUUGUCAUCACAAAUCCUUCUUACACACUUGAAAAACGAAAUUACUUGUAUCAAAGAAAACAAGUUAGCCUAUAAUUAUAAAAACUAAAAGAUAAACCUAAAUUACAGCACUUGGAAUUACACUAAUUCAAAAAAUGAAAUAACUAAUAUAUUUGGUUGUGGCUUCCUGCUAGCGUGCGCAUUGUUUUUUUAUUUUUUUUCUAGCCCGAGUUGGCAUAAGCAUAGGAGUUCGGUUUCAUCAGAACUUGUUGCUUAUGAGAGCUUUGCCUGUCCUUGAAGUUGGUCCUAUUGCAAAGCAUCAUCAAAUUAAAUGAAUCGAAGUCAAACUGAAAGUACGAAACUUAGGUGAGCACAGAAGGAUUCGUGAUAGCAACAUGUAAAAGAACCUGCUAAAAUGACAUAAUAUAACUUGGCAUAUUUUUGGAUUGAGAUGAGAUAAACAGCAGUCACCACUAUAACUUGCAUUCACCAAAUUCAAAUGCUACAUUAUGUCAUGCAUGACACUACUCUUAAGCAUACACAAGUUCUUGGGUGAAUAUGUAUUUUGCAUAAAAAAUGUCUGCCUAACCAUUAAUUGACAUCCAAUGCUGCACAAGCCGUCUACGACAAAAAGUGCCACUAUCAUAAUAAGAUCAGCUCGGCUAUUUAAGGAAUUCAUGAGAAAAAUUAAAUAUCUGAGUUUUUAUUUGUCAAAAGUUGGCUGGUAUCAUUUGAAUUAUAUGUCAGUAUCAGUAAUUUGAUGCCAAAAAUUAACUAAUCAAAUCAAAGAGGCAAAAAAAGGAAGUUGUUGAUAUAAGAAAGUAACUAAUCAAAUUUGAUGCUCCAUUUUGUGUGUCAUUAGGUAGUGGAGUUGGUAGGCUUACACUGUGAUGAAUGCAUCAAGAAGAUCUUGAAGAUACCCAAAAUUGAUGUUACUACAGAAAGAUUUACAAAAGUGGUUAUAACCAAAAUUGAUGUUACUGUAGAAAUAUUUACACUGUAUAGGAUAGAAUACAUCAACUUUUGCAAGAAACAAAUGAAAGAAAUGCAGAGACAGCUUAAGAAAAUGAACAAAUCUUAAAAGCUUUUUUAUCGCACCCCAAAACAACAGAAAGGGUGAAAAUACAAGAUAUCAGGACUAAGAGUCACUCCGGUGCCUGGAAGAAGUUCGGAGUAGGGGAGGAGAAAAAGGUUCUUAACAAAUGUUAGAUGGAAGCAAUGAUUAUACCCAAAAUUGAUGUCACCGCAGAUAUAUUUAGAUAUACAAUAAUAGAAAAGAUUGAUUUGGACACACAAUAUAAUUAAUAAUUGGAGUAGAACUAAGUGCACUGUAUGAAGAAUGUUGGGUUUCCAGAAAAUAUGGCAGAACUUAUAUAGCAUAAAAAGGAAUUUUAAGGGAGAAGGGUAGGUGGGUUGGGGGAGAGUAGAAAUAAACAUAAUUUACAUACAGACACUUGAGAUAUAGAAAUCCUUUAACAUACACACUGAAACACAUGAAAUUAUGGAAACAGAAGCCAACAAUGAUGUAGCACCAAAUUAUGUAAUCUUCACAGAAUUACAUGUACCAUAAAAGUUCUGCAUUUGUAUAAAUAUUGUGUUCCUAAUGAAAACAAUCUACUUAAUUUAAAUUAUAGGAUUUUUUCAUAAGUGAAAAAAAUAACAAUACAAAAAAAAAUUGUGUCAUAAAAUCCAUUUUUCGUUAAGCCAAAGAACGUGAGUUCAUUGCAUGAUUCUAAGUAAGAAGAAGCUAGCGUUACCAAAAUAUUACAAAAGCUGCUUCUGGUCCAAUUUCUGAUUCAGAAAAUCGUUCUGGGAGAAGCCAUGUCAAUCCCUGAAAGUAAUUUUUUCAACAAUCAGAUAGAGGUGAAGUUCUAAAAUCCCAUGCAGCUUAAUAUCAACGUACUCAAACAUUUCCACGCAG